RNAcentral lists this ribosomal RNA (304 nucleotides) under uncultured bacterium. RNAcentral describes it as "partial 16S ribosomal RNA". It matches the Rfam family "Bacterial small subunit ribosomal RNA", at positions 506 to 807 of the family's 1533-position model. The record is from RNAcentral.
CAGCAGCAGCCGCGGGAAUACGAAGGGGGCUAGCGUUGUUCGGAUUUACUGGGCGUAAAGGGCGCGUAGGCGGACUGAUAAGUCAGGGGUGAAAUCCCAAGGCUCAACCUUGGAACUGCCUUUGAUACUGUUUGUCUUGAGUUCGAGAGAGGUAAGUGGAACUGCGAGUGUAGAGGUGAAAUUCGUAGAUAUUCGCAAGAACACCAGUGGCGAAGGCGGCUUACUGGCUCGAAACUGACGCUGAGGCGCGAAAGCGUGGGGAGCAAACAGGAUUAGAUACCCCUGUAGUCCCUGUCUCUUAUAC